CCCUUAGAUGUUCUGGGCCGCACGCGCGCUGCAAUGGCAGACUCAGCGAGUUGCCUCUGUCGAAAGGCACAGGGAAUCUUUACAGUAUCUGCCGUGAUGGGGAUAGACCCUUGUAAUUUUUGGUCUUCAACGAGGAAUUCCUAGUAAACGCAAGUCAUUAACUUGCAUUGAUUACGUCCCUGCCCUUUGUACACACCGCCCGUCGCACCUACCGAUUGAAUGGUCCGGUGAAGUCCUCGGACCCAGUUGAACCUCGAGUUGAACAGGGAAAGUUGACUAAAUCUUACCAUUUAGAGGAAGGUGAAGUCGUAACA
Molecule: ribosomal RNA, 314 nt
Filed under: uncultured eukaryote
Lineage: Eukaryota
Description: partial 18S ribosomal RNA
Rfam family: Eukaryotic small subunit ribosomal RNA
Source: RNAcentral